Molecule: ribosomal RNA, 464 nt
Filed under: uncultured bacterium
Lineage: Bacteria
Description: bacterial SSU rRNA
Rfam family: Bacterial small subunit ribosomal RNA
Source: RNAcentral
CCAGACUCCUACGGGAGGCAGCAGUGAGGAAUAUUGGUCAAUGGCCGCAGGGCUGAACCAGCCAAGUCGCGUGAGGGAUGACGGUCCUAUGGAUUGUAAACCUCUUUUGUCAGGGAGCAAAGGGCGCCACGUGUGGCGUUUUGCGAGUACCUGAAGAAAAAGCAUCGGCUAACUCCGUGCCAGCAGCCGCGGUAAUACGGAGGAUGCGAGCGUUAUCCGGAUUUAUUGGGUUUAAAGGGUGCGCAGGCGGAAGGUCAAGUCAGCGGUAAAAUUUCGGGGCUCAACCCCGUCGUGCCGUUGAAACUGGCGUUCUUGAGUGAGCGAGAAGUAUGCGGAAUGCGUGGUGUAGCGGUGAAAUGCAUAGAUAUAUGGAAGAACACCAGUGGCGAAAGCGGCUCUCUGGUCUGUAACUGACGCUGAGGUUCGAAAGCGUGGGUAGCAAACAGGAUUAGAUACCCUAGUAA